GAGAAUUGGACUAUCGGAUAAGUAGUGUAGUCUACUUUUUCAAACCGCCUUAAGGUGCUUUUGUAAAGAGCAAAGGUAUUGAGCGUUAAGGUCAAGGCAGCUAAAGCCGUUUGUAUGG
RNAcentral lists this non-coding RNA (118 nucleotides) under Winogradskyella epiphytica. The record is from RNAcentral. Lineage: Bacteria; Pseudomonadati; Bacteroidota; Flavobacteriia; Flavobacteriales; Flavobacteriaceae.